AGUGAACGUUGGCGGCGUGCCUAACACAUGCAAGUCGAACGAGAACCGAGUAGCUUGCUACUCGGGGAAAGUGGCGAACGGGUGAGUAACACGUGAGCAAUCUGCCCUCGAGUGAGGAAUAACCCCGCGAAAGCGGGGCUAAUACCGCAUGAUGCUCUGGAGCAUAAGCUUUCAGAGUUAAAGCCCCUCGGGGCGCUUGAGGAUGAGCUUGCGUCCUAUUAGCUUGUUGGUAGGGUAACGGCCUACCAAGGUUAUGAUGGGUAGCCGGCCUGAGAGGGUGUCCGGCCACACUGGAACUGGGACACGGUCCAGACUCCUACGGGAGGCAGCAGUGGGGAAUUUUGCGCAAUGGGCGAAAGCCUGACGCAGCGACGCCGCGUGGAGGAUGAAGGCUUUCGGGUUGUAAACUCCUGUCAGAGGUGAAGAAAACCCCCUUCGGGGGGCUUGACGGUAACCUCAGAGGAAGCCCCGGCUAACUACGUG
RNAcentral lists this ribosomal RNA (483 nucleotides) under uncultured bacterium. RNAcentral describes it as "bacterial SSU rRNA". It matches the Rfam family "Bacterial small subunit ribosomal RNA", at positions 29 to 507 of the family's 1533-position model. The record is from RNAcentral.